This 468-nucleotide ribosomal RNA is filed under the name uncultured bacterium. RNAcentral's name for it is "partial 16S ribosomal RNA". It matches the Rfam family "Bacterial small subunit ribosomal RNA", at positions 28 to 507 of the family's 1533-position model. The record is from RNAcentral.
GACGAACGCUGGCGGCGUGCUUAACACAUGCAAGUCGAACGGAAAGGCCCUGCUUUUGUGGGGUGCACGAGUGGCGAACGGGUGAGUAACACGUGAGUAACCUGCCCUUGACUUUGGGAUAACUUCAGGAAACUGGGGCUAAUACCGGAUAGGAGCUCCUGCAGCAUGGUGGGGAUUGGAAAGUUUCGGUGGUUGGGGAUGGACUCGCGGCUUAUCAGCUUGUUGGUGGGGUAGUGGCUUACCAAGGCUUUGACGGGUAGCCGGCCUUAGAGGGUGACCGGCCACAUUGGGACUGGGAUACGGACCAGACUCCUACGGGAGGCAGCGGUGGGGAAUAUUACACAAUGGGCGGAAGCGUGAUGCAGCAACGCCGCGUGCGGGAUAACGGCCUUCGGGUUGUAAACCACUUUCGCCUGUGACAAAGAGUGAGUGACGGUAAUGGGUCAAGAAGCCCCGGCUAACUACGUG